GAGAACGAUGACUCUCAAGAUAAGAUUCGAGGCUGUAGCUUGAUUAUCACCAGGAAGCAGCAUGGCCAUUACCCUUUUUGUGUGAUCUGGACGACUCCUCCUGUCACAGGCAGCGUGGAGAUGUUCAUGAGGGAUGAUGUUCCCCAGCGGGCAGCCGUGAGAGGACUGGCAGAAGGGCACACCACACUCCAUGCACCGGGCAGCUUGUGUUCGCAAUCCUCGUCUCACUCCCUCAAAGUUGUAAAUCUCAUUCCAGUCCUUUUGCCUUUCAGCAGCAGGAUGAGGCUACUGCCCAGAACCCCAACACAAGCAUACCUGGUCUUGUCAAGGAUUUUCUCAAGCCGUUUCUUCUCCAUGGCGGCAUCAGUGACGGUCUCUUCAAUAUCCUGCACAGGAGAUGUUGGCUUCUCAACCUUGGGAGUCUCAGGUACAGGCUGGGCUGCAGCCUCCUUCUCAGCUAGUUGUUUCAAGGCUCGCUGGUACUCAUAUGGGAACACCUGAGCACAUAAAAAAGUUUAUGUUAAGUUCUCUUAAAACAAUACAUUCAUAUUUUGUAGUGUACAAGCUACUUAAGGCCAUUAAAAAUAAAUGCUGGCAAUAAUGACAUUCAUAAAGCAAUUUUAAUUUCACAAUAUUUAUGACUUAGAUCUUUGUAUGCAAAUGCUGAAAGGACUGCUGCUUGUGUUUUGUGUUAAGUUCAAGAAAAUUGGCAACAUGUCACAUUAUUUGAAGUAAGUAUCUGAUGUAGCUGUAUCUUAUAAAAUAUAUGGUAACUGAAAAGUUUAAACCUAA
Molecule: long non-coding RNA, 792 nt
Organism: Scylla paramamosain (green mud crab)
Lineage: Eukaryota; Metazoa; Arthropoda; Malacostraca; Decapoda; Portunidae
Exons: 3
Source: RefSeq, a predicted model, not a curated record